Telopea speciosissima is the source of this 172-nucleotide long non-coding RNA. RefSeq lists it as uncharacterized. NCBI's taxonomy places the organism in Eukaryota, Viridiplantae, Streptophyta, Magnoliopsida, Proteales, Proteaceae. The transcript is spliced from 5 exons. The record is from RefSeq and is a predicted model, not a curated record.
UCACUGGUCAAUGAAAGAGGAGAGAGAGAGAGAGAGAAGAGAGAGAGAGAGAUGGAGGUUGAAGGAUCAUCGAAGAAGAUGAUAGCACCGCAGGAGGAGAUGGUGCAAGCUAGAGUUCCUAUAGCAUAGAGACCAAUGUGCCCACCUCCUCAUUCCUCUCAACAAAUGUAGG